Long non-coding RNA from Triticum aestivum (bread wheat), 1402 nucleotides. RefSeq lists it as uncharacterized. NCBI's taxonomy places the organism in Eukaryota, Viridiplantae, Streptophyta, Magnoliopsida, Poales, Poaceae. The record is from RefSeq and is a predicted model, not a curated record. The transcript has 5 exons.
CUUUUCCUAGUAGUGGCGAGGCUUGACAAACAUACUUGUUCUCUUGAUUGAACAUGACCAAGACCUAAAAUGAUUUUGAUUUGUGCUCUUGUAGGUUAAAUCAAUCUCUGUCAAUACGAAAUUGUCAUAGCUGAACAUGAUCAGGACCUCAGGAGGACAGGGUUAUUACUUUGGAGUUUCAGAACUCGUACUUGGUUUACGGGGUUAACAAUUGGGUCCAUGUUUCAGCGACAUUGUACAAGUGUGUUUGCUUAGCUGGAUUUCUGCCCUCAUUUUCUAUUUCACAUCCCCCAGUCAUUUUUUGCAGAUUCGAUUUGGUCAUAUUAUAUAUUCUUAAACCACAAAGUUUCAAGCCAAUAAUCAUUCUUUAUGGUGAUUUAAACUGUACUCCUUAGAAAAUUGACAUUCAUAAUCCGCUGGUAAGUUCUCGUUCAUCCGUGGAACUUCUCAGCCAAAAUGUUCUUUUUAUAAUUUUCAGCCAAAAUAUUAUAUCCUUAUGUUCACAGUUCAUCAUUGGUUGUUACAGAAUUUCCUCCGUAUGAAAUAUUCCACAUUGAACAUAACUUGUUUGAACAUGUAUGGUUCUUUAUUUCAUAUAAAAUAUGAAGCUAACAAAAAAAUGGUCCAUACAUUGGUGCAUAAUCCAACUUGUGAAUUCUGUGAAGAUAGCAUUUCAGAACAGCAUUGAUAGUUUCCAACUUGCCAUGCUUUAGGAUCAGAUAGAAGUAUAGGACAUGAAUGAUCUAAAUUAAAUUCAUGACCAAUGUACAUAGUGAGAGCCAGAGAAUAAUAUUUCUCAGUAAAUAUGAAUGGUUAAGUUAAAACUGAACAUGACUACAAAGAAAACUGAAUUGCCAUUGCCAGUAUUGUUAAUAACAAUCAACAAAAAAAUGUCAUCGAGGAGGUCUAUGGCCCGGGUGUCGAGGCGCUUGUCAGGGACGAGGACCAGCCUGACCUCAAGAAGUCCAUCGUCGCACUACCCCGCAUCUUGAAGUUCAAGGUCGGCACCCCAGCGGGCACAACCUCCACCCAUGCAUCUACCAGGAUCAAUUCUCUGUCGCAAUCAUCCUACCUGCUGCCAGCUCCCCCUCGUACGCCCUGAUCUCCUCGUGUGCUGGUACAUUCAUCAUACAAGAAGGACUUAACAUGACGCAUGCAAGGUUAUACUAAAACUAUCACACCAAAGGCGAGGAUCCUUGAUCUCCACCAUAGCGAUGAAGCCAGUGUCGGAGUCGCCGUCUUCGCCAAGGAUAGUCACAAUGACGGAAAGAUCCAUGGGAGCAAGAAGAGGGAGGACAACAUAUUUUAGGACCGUGAUGCGAGUAUUAAAGAAAUGUAUAAAUGCAUGGGCAAUAUGUUGCUAUUUCAUGACAUAUGUGCUUAUUAAUUGAACAUUCUGAUA